This 396-nucleotide ribosomal RNA is filed under the name uncultured Methanomicrobiales archaeon. RNAcentral describes it as "bacterial SSU rRNA". It matches the Rfam family "Archaeal small subunit ribosomal RNA", at positions 943 to 1338 of the family's 1478-position model. The record is from RNAcentral. Lineage: Archaea; Methanobacteriati; Methanobacteriota; Methanomicrobia; Methanomicrobiales.
CUGAAUGAUAGUCGGGCUGAAGACUCUACUUGACUAGCUGAGAGGAGGUGCAUGGCCGUCGUCAGUUCGUACUGUGAAGCAUCCUGUUAAGUCAGGCAACGAGCGAGACCCACGCAACAGUUGCCAGCUCGUCCUCCGGGAUGGAGGGGACACUGUUGGGGCCGCCUCUGCUAAAGAGAGGAAGGGAAAUGGGCAACGGUAGGUCAGCAUGCCCCGAAUUAUCUGGGCUACACGCGGGCUACAAUGGGUGGGACAAUGGGUAUCGACACCGAAAGGUGAAGGCAAUCUCCUAAACCCAUCCUUAGUUCGGAUUGUGGGCUGCAACUCGCCCACAUGAAGCUGGAAUCUGUAGUAAUCGUGUUUCAAAAUAGCACGGUGAAUAUGUCCCUGCUCCUU